Molecule: transfer RNA, 63 nt
Filed under: Polyphylla gracilicornis
Lineage: Eukaryota; Metazoa; Arthropoda; Insecta; Coleoptera; Scarabaeidae
Description: tRNA-Gly
Rfam family: tRNA
About the family: Transfer RNA (tRNA) molecules are approximately 80 nucleotides in length. Their secondary structure includes four short double-helical elements and three loops (D, anti-codon, and T loops). Further hydrogen bonds mediate the characteristic L-shaped molecular structure. tRNAs have two regions of fundamental functional importance: the anti-codon, which is responsible for specific mRNA codon recognition, and the 3' end, to which the tRNAs corresponding amino acid is attached (by aminoacyl-tRNA synthetases). tRNAs cope with the degeneracy of the genetic code in two manners: having more than one tRNA (with a specific anti-codon) for a particular amino acid; and 'wobble' base-pairing, i.e. permitting non-standard base-pairing at the 3rd anti-codon position.
Source: RNAcentral
AUCUAUAUAGUAUAAUUAUUAUAUUUGACUUCCAAUCAAAAGAUCUGAAUAUCAGUAUAGAUA